CUACGGGUGGCAGCAGUGAGGAAUAUUGCGCAAUGGACGAAAGUCUGACGCAGCCAUGCCGCGUGCAGGAUGACGGCGCUAUGCGUUGUAAACUGCUUUUAUAGGCCAAGAAACCUUCGGACGUGUCCGAAGCUGACGGUAGCAUAUGAAUAAGCACCGGCUAACUCCGUGCCAGGCAGCCGCGGUAAUACGGAGGGUGCGAGCGUUAUCCGGAUUUAUUGGGUUUAAAGGGUCCGUAGGCGGAUCAUUAAGUCAGUGGUGAAAGCCGGCAGCUCAACUGUCGAACUGCCAUUGAUACUGGUGAUCUUGAAUACGGUUGAAGUUGGCGGAAUAGGUCAUGUAGCGGUGAAAUGCUUAGAUAUGACCUAGAACACCGAUUGCGAAGGCAGCCAACUAAGCCGUUAUUGACGCUGAGGGACGAAAGCGUGGGGAGCGAACAGGAUUAGAUACCCGCGUAGUC
This 460-nucleotide ribosomal RNA is filed under the name uncultured bacterium. Its description in RNAcentral is "partial 16S ribosomal RNA". It matches the Rfam family "Bacterial small subunit ribosomal RNA", at positions 339 to 795 of the family's 1533-position model. The record is from RNAcentral.